RNAcentral lists this ribosomal RNA (444 nucleotides) under uncultured bacterium. RNAcentral describes it as "SSU rRNA". It matches the Rfam family "Bacterial small subunit ribosomal RNA", at positions 26 to 518 of the family's 1533-position model. The record is from RNAcentral.
AGAGCGAACGCUGGCGGCAGGCCUAACACAUGCAAGUCGAGCGCCCCGCAAGGGGAGCGGCAGACGGGAGAGUAACACGUGGGAACGUACCCUUUGGUUCGGAACAACACAGGGGAACUUGUGCUAAUACCGGAUAAGCCCUUACGGGGAAAGAUUUAUUGCCAAAGGAUCGGCCCGCGUCUGAUUAGCUUGUUGGUGAGGUAACGGCUCACCAAGGCUACGAUCAGUAGCUGGUCUGAGAGGAUGAUCAGCCUCACUGGGACUGAGACACGGCCCAGACUCCUACGGGAGGCAGCAGUGGGGAAUAUUGGACAAUGGGCGCAAGCCUGAUCCAGCCAUGCCGCGUGGAUGAUGAAGGCCCUAGGGUUGUAAAGUCCUUUCGGACGGGAAGAUAAUGACGGUACCCGUAGAAGAAGCCCCGGCUAACUUCGUGCCAGCAGCCGC